GGGGACGUAGCUCAGUUGGCAGAGCACCUGCUUUGCAAGCAGGGGGUCGGCGGUUCGAGUCCGCUCGUCUCCA
RNAcentral lists this transfer RNA (73 nucleotides) under Actinomycetota bacterium. RNAcentral describes it as "tRNA-Ala". It matches the Rfam family "tRNA". Rfam says of the family: Transfer RNA (tRNA) molecules are approximately 80 nucleotides in length. Their secondary structure includes four short double-helical elements and three loops (D, anti-codon, and T loops). The record is from RNAcentral. RNAcentral also lists the same sequence under 1 other name. Lineage: Bacteria; Bacillati; Actinomycetota.